RNAcentral lists this ribosomal RNA (782 nucleotides) under soil fungal sp. DM237. RNAcentral's name for it is "eukaryotic LSU rRNA". It matches the Rfam family "Eukaryotic large subunit ribosomal RNA", at positions 99 to 790 of the family's 3401-position model. Lineage: Eukaryota; Fungi. The record is from RNAcentral.
GAGGAAGAGCUCAAGUUGGAACCUGUUUGGCUUAGCUAAACCGGAUUGUAAACUGUAGAAGUGUUUUCCUGACACGCCUGGUAAAAAAGUCCUUUGGAACAGGGCAUCAUAGAGGGUGAGAAUCCCGUCUUUGGCCAGAGCUGUUGUCUUUUGUGAUACAUUUUCAAAGAGUCAGGUUGUUUGGGAAUGCAGCCUAAAUUGGGUGGUAAAUCUCACCUAAAGCUAAAUAUUUGCGAGAGACCGAUAGCGAACAAGUACCGUGAGGGAAAGAUGAAAAGAACUUUGAAAAGAGAGUUAAACAGUAUGUGAAAUUGUUAAAAGGGAACCGUUUGGAGCCAGACUGGCUUGACUGUAAUCAAUCUAGGCUUCGGCCUGGAUGCACUUGCGGUCUAUGCCUGCCAACGACAGUUUUAUUUGGGGGAAAAAAUUAUUGGGAAUGUGGCCUCUCGAGGUGUUAUAGCCCUUUAAAAAAUACCCUGGAUUGGACUGAGGAACGCAGUGAAUGCCUUUAGGCAAGAUUGCUGGGUGCUUUCGCUAAUAAAUGCUAGAAUUUCUGCUUCGGGUGGUGCUAGUGUUUAAAGGUGGAACUCGCUUAGUAUAUUUUUUAUUCGCUUAGGUUGUUGGCUUAAUGACUCUAAAUGACCCGUCUUGAAACACGGACCAAGGAGUCCACCAUAAGUGCAAGUAUUUGGGUGCCAAACCCAUAUGCGCAAGGAAACUGAUUGAUACGAAAUCUUACGAUGGCAGUAUCACCCGGCGUUGACGUUUUAUACUGAACUGAC